AAAAUAAUACCAGCCCGAGAACAGGCGCUUCGCGCCUGUCCUGGUCUGGCCCUGCGGGGCUGACUCCUUGACGGUCAAUAUAACUGGAUACCCGCAGGGGUGGCGGCUGCGCCGCCCCCCUGCUUGGUAUCCAGUCAAAGGUGUCAAUUUUAACGCUUCGUGCCUGACGGUGGGUUUCUAUGCACGGCGUGUUGCUUCCGGCCUUCGGUUUGGUACCGCAGGGUCAGCCAUCACUUGUGCAUUGCAUUAAUUAUUA
Molecule: non-coding RNA, 256 nt
Organism: Dermatophagoides farinae (American house dust mite)
Lineage: Eukaryota; Metazoa; Arthropoda; Arachnida; Sarcoptiformes; Pyroglyphidae
Source: RefSeq, a predicted model, not a curated record